UACGUAGGGUGCAAGCGUUGUCCGGAAUUAUUGGGCGUAAAGCGCACGUAGGCGGUUCGUUAAGUCGGAUGUGAAAGCCCUCGGCUCAACUGAGGAAGUGCACCCGAAACUGGCGAGCUUGAGUACGAAAGAGGAUCGCGGAAUUCCGAGUGUAGAGGUGAAAUUCGUAGAUAUUCGGAAGAACACCAGUGGCGAAGGCGGCUCACUGGACUGGUAUUGACGCUGAGGUGCGAAAGCGUGGGAGCAAACAGG
RNAcentral lists this ribosomal RNA (252 nucleotides) under uncultured bacterium. RNAcentral's name for it is "partial 16S ribosomal RNA". It matches the Rfam family "Bacterial small subunit ribosomal RNA", at positions 524 to 776 of the family's 1533-position model. The record is from RNAcentral.